GAACGGCACCUUCGGGUGUAGUGGCGGACGGGUGAGUAACGCGUGGGAACGUACCUUUUGCUUCGGAAUAGCCUCGGGAAACUGGGAGUAAUACCGAAUGUGCUCUUCGGAGGAAAGAUUUAUCGGCAAAAGAUCGGCCCGCGUUGGAUUAGCUAGUUGGUGAGGUAAUGGCUCACCAAGGCGACGAUCCAUAGCUGGUUUGAGAGGAUGACCAGCCACACUGGGACUGAGACACGGCCCAG
This 242-nucleotide ribosomal RNA is filed under the name uncultured bacterium. Its description in RNAcentral is "partial 16S ribosomal RNA". It matches the Rfam family "Bacterial small subunit ribosomal RNA", at positions 64 to 334 of the family's 1533-position model. The record is from RNAcentral.